AUCUACAGCCAUACCACCCUGAACACACCUAAUCUUGUCUGAUCUUGGAAGCUAAGCAGGGUCUGGUCUGGUUAGUACUUGGAUGGGAGAAAAAUGAUAUCUGUAGGAA
Ribosomal RNA from Macaca nemestrina (pig-tailed macaque), 109 nucleotides. The record is from Ensembl. NCBI's taxonomy places the organism in Eukaryota, Metazoa, Chordata, Mammalia, Primates, Cercopithecidae.